Molecule: long non-coding RNA, 682 nt
Filed under: Homo sapiens (human)
Lineage: Eukaryota; Metazoa; Chordata; Mammalia; Primates; Hominidae
Description: long independently transcribed non-coding RNA 937 (LINC00937)
Source: RNAcentral
CAGGCAGGAGACAGCGACUGCUUGGUCCGGGGCAGGUGAGCGCAGCGCAGGCCAGGGCCCUACCUGUCCACGGUGCGCGCGAGCGGCCAGCAGAGGGCGCCAGAGGACCACGAGCGGCCCGCGGAGGAGUCCGCGCCGGCCCCGAUGCCCAGCUCCGCGCCGCGCGGACCCACCGAGCCCGCGCUCAGACGCCCCAGCUCCGCCGAGAGGCCGCUCGCUCCGGGUCCUUCCUCUUCCCCAGGUGCAGGCAGAGCCCCCGGGGCCAUGGCCAGCCCUUCCGGCAGCUCCGAAGCCCCUGGCAAGCCCCGAGGCAGGGAUGGCCGGCCCAGGAGGGAGGAGGACGACGUCCCUCCCGAAGAGAAGAGGCUGCGGCUCUUGCUGGAGGGGGGAAGCGCACAGCCCCAGGACUGCGAGGACGGGCAGGACGCGCCGCGGUCGGCCAGGAAGGAGACCGGCACCCAGACAGGUGGCGACGGCAGAGGAAUAACUUCACUCUUCUCUGCAACGAAUCCCAAAAGUAUAUAAUUGAGCUGACUGCAAGGUACUUGACACGCAAGAGACUCCACAAAUGGGAUUCAGCCUCUGGAAAGUGGUGGUAGUUCCAGAUUUAUGUGGAUGUUACUUUGUUUUUCCCUAUAAAAUAUAUUAUUUAAACUAUCAAAAAAAAAAAAAAAAAAAAAAA